Molecule: transfer RNA, 91 nt
Filed under: Bythopirellula polymerisocia
Lineage: Bacteria; Pseudomonadati; Planctomycetota; Planctomycetia; Pirellulales; Lacipirellulaceae
Description: Planctomycetes bacterium Pla144 tRNA-Leu
Rfam family: tRNA
About the family: Transfer RNA (tRNA) molecules are approximately 80 nucleotides in length. Their secondary structure includes four short double-helical elements and three loops (D, anti-codon, and T loops). Further hydrogen bonds mediate the characteristic L-shaped molecular structure. tRNAs have two regions of fundamental functional importance: the anti-codon, which is responsible for specific mRNA codon recognition, and the 3' end, to which the tRNAs corresponding amino acid is attached (by aminoacyl-tRNA synthetases). tRNAs cope with the degeneracy of the genetic code in two manners: having more than one tRNA (with a specific anti-codon) for a particular amino acid; and 'wobble' base-pairing, i.e. permitting non-standard base-pairing at the 3rd anti-codon position.
Source: RNAcentral
CAGGACGUGGGAUAGCUUGGUCCAGCUUUUCAAAAAUACUGGGCCUGCUUUGGAAGCAGGAGAUCGCUGGUUCGAAUCCAGCCGUCCUGAC